GUCGCCGUAGUAUAGUGGUCAGUAUCCCUGCCUGUCACGCAGGAGGCCCGGGUUCAAUUCCCGGCGGUGGCG
Non-coding RNA from Scenedesmus sp. NREL 46B-D3, 72 nucleotides. NCBI's taxonomy places the organism in Eukaryota, Viridiplantae, Chlorophyta, Chlorophyceae, Sphaeropleales, Scenedesmaceae. The record is from the annotation of a GenBank genome assembly.